Molecule: ribosomal RNA, 253 nt
Filed under: uncultured bacterium
Lineage: Bacteria
Description: partial 16S ribosomal RNA
Rfam family: Bacterial small subunit ribosomal RNA
Source: RNAcentral
AACGGGGGAUUCAAGCGCUAUCCGGAAUCACUGGGCGUAAAGCGUCUGUAGGUGGUGAUGCAAGUCACUGGUGCAAAACUCUGGCUCAACCGGAGGAAAGCCAGUGAAACUGCAUGACUAGAGUGUGGGAGAGGUAGAAGGAAUUCCCUGAGUAGCGGUGAAAUGCGUAGAUACAGGGAAGAACACCGGAGGCGAAAGCGUUCUACUGGAACACAACUGACACUGAGAGACGAAAGCUAGGGGAGCGAAUGGG